Molecule: non-coding RNA, 1183 nt
Organism: Erpetoichthys calabaricus (reedfish)
Lineage: Eukaryota; Metazoa; Chordata; Cladistia; Polypteriformes; Polypteridae
Source: the annotation of a RefSeq genome assembly
AUGGGCAGUGAUCAACAUCUAGUCAACAGCAUUACGUUCCUUCAGUCUCCAUCGAAGGUGCUGAUGCCUGGGAGUUACGCGGAAAUUAGUUGCGGCCAUGACCGAAGUGAUCAUUAUUAUAUGUAUUGGUACCAUCAACCAGGAGCCAGUGGUGCUUUGAAACUCAUAUCCACUGGCUACAUGACGCAGGAAGCUAACCUUGAAAACGAAUACAAAGACCGAUUUACAUUCACGAAGCAGGAGGUCACGAAGGGUGUCCUGAAUAUCGCCAAUGUCAUGUUGAAUGAAGCAUGCAGGAAGAGAUCUGCUAGUUGUGUUUCGUUUUUGUAUGACACUCUAGUACUGUGGGGAUGGGGGGACACCGUGCCUGCUUACUUUGGAAAAGGCACUAAGCUGACCGUUCUUGAAAAAGAUGUCACAGAACCAACACUGGAAAUCCUCAGUCCAUCACAAAAUGAACUUUGCAAAAGGAAUCGGGUGACGCUAAUUUGUCUAGCAACUGAUUUUUAUCCUGACCACAUAAGUAUUACCUGGGAUUUGCCAGAACUGAACGAACCAACAAGAAUUAAGACUGACACCCCAGUGCUGAAUGGCCACACAAAGUUAUAUAGCGUCAGCAGCCGAUUAAGAGUGCCCAAAAGUGUCUGGUGCAACCCUGAUAACAAGUUUACCUGCAUUGUGACGUUUGGCAUGGAAAAUGGAACUGAGACUUACAGGAGAUCUAUACACGGAUCACAAGAUUGUGUCAAGAAGACUGAAUUAGUGAAGAAAAACAACAACACUGCAAAAUUUGUAUAUCUUAUGUUCUUCGGAAAAAGUGUGCUUUAUGGAUUGCUAAUUAGUGUUUUUAUGUGGAAAAUGAAGCCACACUCUAAAGAUUCCAGAUGAUAAAUGAGGAAAAUAGGAAACCUGAAAUUGUUUUUCUUUUUCUUUAUUGAAAAUUCACUAUAAAACAUAAGUUGUAUUCUGUAUGAAUUAUUGAUUUUGUUUUUCUGCACUAUGAGUUGAUUUUGCUUUUUCUGUCCUGCAUGUCAUUUACAGAAGUUUUUUUCCAAGUCAAAGUUGUUUCUGUUUUUAAUGUAGUAAAAUGUUUAAUAAGCAUUGUGAUGUAAUGUUCAGUUAUUGGGGUUAAAACUUUUGUUAUAUCCUGCAUAAUAAUAAAUUUUAUUAAACUUUCUUAAAA